GUACUAACACUAAUGUCCCGUCCAUCUCGGCCGUGCGCAGGCUUGCGGGACUCGUUCGCACUAGUGUUCAGCAUGAGGCACUGCUGUGUGCCUAUGUGCACAUCAAGUGCAAGAAAGAAGGACGCCGGAGUAUUAUUCCACAAGAUUCCUGCCGACCUCGAGAUGCGCCAACGAAGGCUAAAGUAAGCACUUCGUUGCCUCGGACUUCCAGGAGAAUACCAAAAUCCAACAACUGAACACGGGAGUGGUGCCCAGCGUGUUCACGUGCUACCCCUCGUAUAUGAAGCCUGCACUUGCCAAGG
Dermacentor albipictus is the source of this 302-nucleotide long non-coding RNA. RefSeq lists it as uncharacterized. NCBI's taxonomy places the organism in Eukaryota, Metazoa, Arthropoda, Arachnida, Ixodida, Ixodidae. The record is from RefSeq and is a predicted model, not a curated record.